AUUGAACGCUGGCGGCAUGCCUUACACAUGCAAGUCGAACGGCAGCACGGGUGCUUGCACCUGGUGGCGAGUGGCGAACGGGUGAGUAAUACAUCGGAACAUGUCCUGUAGUGGGGGAUAGCCCGGCGAAAGCCGGAUUAAUACCGCAUACGAUCUACGGAUGAAAGCGGGGGACCUUCGGGCCUCGCGCUAUAGGGUUGGCCGAUGGCUGAUUAGCUAGUUGGUGGGGUAAAGGCCUACCAAGGCGACGAUCAGUAGCUGGUCUGAGAGGACGACCAGCCACACUGGGACUGAGACACGGCCCAGACUCCUACGGGAGGCAGCAGUGGGGAAUUUUGGACAAUGGGCGAAAGCCUGAUCCAGCAAUGCCGCGUGUAUGAAGAAGGCCUUCGGGUUGUAAAGCACUUUUGUCCGGAAAGAAAUCCUUGGCCCUAAUACGGUCGGGGGAUGACGGUACCGGAAGAAUAAGCACCGGCUAACUACGUG
Molecule: ribosomal RNA, 486 nt
Filed under: uncultured bacterium
Lineage: Bacteria
Description: partial 16S ribosomal RNA
Rfam family: Bacterial small subunit ribosomal RNA
Source: RNAcentral